This 1284-nucleotide small RNA is filed under the name Arabidopsis thaliana (thale cress). Its description in RNAcentral is "ATSL084620". The record is from RNAcentral. Lineage: Eukaryota; Viridiplantae; Streptophyta; Magnoliopsida; Brassicales; Brassicaceae.
AUUUAUAAGUUUUUACUUUUCUGAAAAUUUUAAAUUUUAAUGAAUUAUUUCUUAUUAAAUUAUUUACGAUUUUAAAGGAAAGAUAGUAUUCCACAAUUUUCUGGAAUACGCAAUUUUUAAAUUUUACGGUUUUGACGGGAAAAAUACAAUUCUCCGAUUUUACGAUUUUGACGGAAAAACGUAAUUCUGCAAAUUUUCCACCAAAAUCGUGAUUUUAUUAUAUUGGCGAGAACACAAUUUUACGGUUUUGACGGGAAAACGCAAUUCUCUGAUUUUACGGUUUUGGCGGGAAAACACAAUUUUCCAGCCAAAAUCGUGAUUUUAUUAUAUUGGCGAAAAACACAAUUUUACAGUUUUAGUGAGAAAACACAAUUCUCCGAUUUUACGGUUUUAGCGGUUAAAUCGUUAUUUUUUUGUAUCGGUGAAAAAAAUAAUUUUACGAUUUUACCGUUUUGGCGAAAAAAGCAAUUCCAUAAUUUUUUCGUCAAAAUCGUGAUUUUAUUGUAUUGGUAAGAAAAACACAAUUUUACCAUUUUGUCGAAAAAAGACAAGUCUUCGAUUUCUACAAUUUUUACGGAAAAAUGCAAUUUCUCAAUUUUUCUUUAAAUUUAUGAUUUUUGAUUUAUCAAUAAUAACAAUAAUAAAAUAGGCUAACCAUGGGCUUGCCAUAUGGACAUGGUCUUUAUUGGGCAUGGACAUUUUUCGGACCAAACCGUCCAACUUGGCCCAUAAAAAAACUGUCCGUACGGACACGCCCAAUGGUCUUUGGACGGACCAUUUGACACAUCUAGAAACAACCGUCAGCAGUAGCCAUUCGUUAAGAGUUUCAGAAUUCCGAUAUAUACAUUUUGAUACAACCUACACAAAAACAAAGACAAAGAGAGAAAAUCCAACUAUGAGGAGGAUUAUCUUGUUGAUAGUGCCAUCAAAAACAAGAGUUAGUUAUUCACCUGAAGGUUUGGCUAAACAAAGUAUAUUAUCUCUUUUCAUAUACCUGUCAAUUACAUCUUGACGCUGCAUUGUCAACAAUAGAGACCUCCUAUGUCCUUUGUAUUCACUCUUGGCUUUCUUAAGUACUCUAGUAGAUUCAUCUACAAAUGUAAACAUGGUUGUCUUCGCCGCGAGGUCGUUUGCAUGUUCUUCUUUUACUUGUUUCGUUUCAGUUCGUUCUUGAUCCUGCAAGAUCGGGCGUCUUCUCAUUGCGGCGUUAGUUAAUUAAAGUAUUUUGUGCAAAAAAAAUUUCCGUCCAAUUUUGCAACUUUAUACUCUAUGUCCAAAAAAAAC